RNAcentral lists this ribosomal RNA (277 nucleotides) under uncultured Lachnospiraceae bacterium. RNAcentral's name for it is "partial 16S ribosomal RNA". It matches the Rfam family "Bacterial small subunit ribosomal RNA", at positions 68 to 339 of the family's 1533-position model. The record is from RNAcentral. Lineage: Bacteria; Bacillati; Bacillota; Clostridia; Lachnospirales; Lachnospiraceae.
UAGAUUUCUUCGGAAUGAAGUUUUAGUGACUGAGUGGCGGACGGGUGAGUAACGCGUGGGUAACCUGCCUCACACAGGGGGAUAACAGUUGGAAACGGCUGCUAAUACCGCAUAAGCGCACAGUACCGCAUGGUACAGUGUGAAAAACUCCGGUGGUGUGAGAUGGACCCGCGUCUGAUUAGCUAGUUGGCGGGGUAACGGCCCACCAAGGCAACGAUCCAUAGCCGACCUGAGAGGGUGACCGGCCACAUUGGGACUGAGACACGGUCCAGACUCC